RNAcentral lists this ribosomal RNA (305 nucleotides) under uncultured bacterium. RNAcentral describes it as "bacterial SSU rRNA". It matches the Rfam family "Bacterial small subunit ribosomal RNA", at positions 337 to 660 of the family's 1533-position model. The record is from RNAcentral.
CCUUUUUUGCGCAGCUGUUUGUAAUAUUGUACAAUGGGGGAAACCCUGAUGCAGCGACGCCGCGUGAGUGAAGAAGUAUUUCGGUAUGUAAAGCUCUAUCAGCAGGGAAGAAAAUGACGGUACCUGACUAAGAAGCCCCGGCUAACUACGUGCCAGCAGCCGCGGUAAUACGUAGGGGGCAAGCGUUAUCCGGAUUUACUGGGUGUAAAGGGAGCGUAGACGGUAGAGCAAGUCUGAAGUGAAAGCCCGCGGCUCAACUGCGGGACUGCUUUGGAAACUGUUCAACUGGAGUGCUGGAGAGGUAA